GACGAACGCUGGCGGCGUGCCUAACACAUGCAAGUCGAACGGAACUGUUUUGAAAGAUUUCUUCGGAAUGAAUUUGAUUUAGUUUAGUGGCGGACGGGUGAGUAACGCGUGAGUAGCCUGCCUUCAAGAGGGGAAUAACAUUCUGAAAAGAAUGCUCAUACCGCAUGACAUAUCGGAACCACAUGGUUUUGAUAUCAAAGAUUUUAUCGCUUGAAGAUGGACUCGCGUCCGAUUAGUUAGUUGGUGAGGUAACGGCUCACCAAGACCGCGAUCGGUAGCCGGACUGAGAGGUUGAACGGCCACAUUGGGACUGAGACACGGCCCAGACUCCUACGGGAGGCAGCAGUGGGGGAUAUUGCGCAAUGGGGGCAACCCUGACGCAGCAACGCCGCGUGAAGGAUGAAGGUUUUCGGAUUGUAAACUUCUUUUAUUAAGGACGAAAAAUGACGGUACUUAAUGAAUAAGCUCCGGCUAACUACGUG
RNAcentral lists this ribosomal RNA (482 nucleotides) under uncultured bacterium. RNAcentral describes it as "partial 16S ribosomal RNA". It matches the Rfam family "Bacterial small subunit ribosomal RNA", at positions 28 to 507 of the family's 1533-position model. The record is from RNAcentral.